GAUGAACGCUGGCGGCGUGCCUAAUACAUGCAAGUCGAGCGAACCACUUCGGUGGUGAGCGGCGAACGGGUGAGUAACACGUAGGUGAUCUGCCCAUCAGACGGGGACAACGAUUGGAAACGAUCGCUAAUACCGGAUAGGACGAAAGUUUAAAGGUGCUUCUGGCACCGCUGAUGGAUGAGCCUGCGGCGCAUUAGCUAGUUGGUAGGGUAAAGGCCUACCAAGGCGACGAUGCGUAGCCGACCUGAGAGGGUGAACGGCCACACUGGGACUGAGACACGGCCCAGACUCCUACGGGAGGCAGCAGUAGGGAAUCUUCGGCAAUGGGCGAAAGCCUGACCGAGCAACGCCGCGUGAAUGAUGAAGGCCUUCGGGUUGUAAAGUUACUGUUAUAAGGAAGAACGACUUAGUAGGUAAAUAGGCGUAGAGUGUGACGGUACCUUA
RNAcentral lists this ribosomal RNA (444 nucleotides) under uncultured bacterium. RNAcentral's name for it is "bacterial SSU rRNA". It matches the Rfam family "Bacterial small subunit ribosomal RNA", at positions 28 to 482 of the family's 1533-position model. The record is from RNAcentral.